Molecule: long non-coding RNA, 1361 nt
Filed under: Rattus norvegicus (Norway rat)
Lineage: Eukaryota; Metazoa; Chordata; Mammalia; Rodentia; Muridae
Description: long non-coding RNA NONRATT020125
Source: RNAcentral
CCAAUGGGUUUAUUCUUACACACGGCACCAUACAGAGCAGCACAGGUCACUGAGCCAGGCCCGCCCCUCACAAAGAGCAAGGACAUGAAAUACGGAGGGCGCAAUGAGUGCGCAGCCCAGGGUCUGGAGUUUGUUAAGUGAAGGGAGGGGCGAGGAGAGGUGGCCCAGUGGGGCUGAGGGCUGGCCAGGAGCAUAGGGCACGACAACCAGGGAUAGCAAAGUCCAGAAGUGAGCGGGCAGGUGCUCGUUUGUGGCACAGACACCACAUGGCACCGAGCGCGUCGGUGUGGCCCAAGGGGCACAGUGGAUGGAGAGAGAGAGGAGAGAGGCCAGAAGAGGGCCUGCACCCUGCCAAGCUCCUGGGGCAGAGUCCACCCAAAUGCGGAUCCUAGGAAAUGGGGAGGGGCCAAAAAGAGGGGGCAAGGCAAGCGCGGUGGCGGCGGCUUCCGGAGCAGGAGCAGGUACAGCAGAAGUCCAUGCAGGAAGGAGCAGAGGAGGGGAGGGGCAGGAAAGCUCCCCCCAGGAGCAGCUGGGCCAGCGGGCUUGAGUGCCCCCGCCCCUCUGGGCCUCGUCGCUUUGGCCGGCCGGCGUGGGCCGAGCUCCCUUCUUCUCCAUUCAGCGAGCCUGGCGCAGCAUCCAGCCGGGCCUGGUCCCCCGGCAGCCCCCAGCGCGGGCUCCGGCGUUCCUAGCCUUCCCUGGGGGUAGGGUUAGUUACAAAGGUUCCUGUGGGUCUCUGGAGCGGGGAGCUCGGCGGCCGCUUCUCAUCUGAGAGCAGUCCCAGGGCCCGGCCCGCCUCCGGCCCCGCACAGGGGGAAUGUCCAGAGGUGCUGUGUAUCACCACCUGGUCUUCUAAUUUGGAAGGAGUUGGAAAGGCCUUUUUGUUGAUGAAAAGUUGGAAACAGUGGCACAUAUCUGCAAAUAUCGAAAGAAUAAAGAUUUUGGCAAGUUAUACUUCAGCCCCGCAAAAGUCGGUCAGCACUGGUGAGGGCAGAGACCCAGGCGCCUGGGGAGAGGCGGCAGCGGGAUGAAGAGGAGGAUGUGAGGAGGAGGAGGAGAGGAGAAGGAGAGGAGGAGGAGGCCGCCAACUGCUGGGCAUUUGUGGCCCAGCAGUCCAUGUCAGCAGGGAAUGUUCACCACUCUGCUGCCCGGGCCCCAUCCCUCCUGUAUUCCCAGGCUGUCAGAGGCCGAGGGCACAGGGUCGGUCAGGACAAAGGAUUGCAACUGCGAUGUGGGAGGAAGCCCAGCAGGGGGCACAAAGAACCCGGCCAAAAUCUUUAGAAAAGAUUACACUGGUGCCCAGCAGCUCCACAGACAGCACCUGCCCGAAUCCAUACCCUCCAGGGCUAAAGCCCUCUGCCCCU